This 312-nucleotide ribosomal RNA is filed under the name Heterosigma akashiwo. RNAcentral describes it as "partial Bacterial large subunit ribosomal RNA". It matches the Rfam family "Bacterial large subunit ribosomal RNA", at positions 933 to 1245 of the family's 2925-position model. The record is from RNAcentral. Lineage: Eukaryota; Raphidophyceae; Chattonellales; Chattonellaceae.
GGCUUACCAACCCGAUGCAAACUACGAAUACCGAAGAAUGUUAUCACGGGAGACACACGGCGGGUGCUAACGUCCGUCGUGGAGAGGGAAACAACCCUGACCGACAGCUAAGGCCCCCAAUUCGUGGCUAAGUGGGAAAGGAUGUGGGACUCCCAAAACAACCAGGAGGUUGGCUUAGAAGCAGCCAUCCUUUAAAGAUAGCGUAACAGCUCACUGGUCUAAAUAAGUUAUCCUGCGGCGAAGAUGUAACGGGGCUCAAGCCAUGAGCCGAAGCUGAGGAUGCCGUAAGGCAUGGUAGCAGAGCGUAGUGUG